CAAUAGCGUAUAUUAAAGUUGUUGCGGUUAAAAAGCUCGUAGUUGGAUUUCUGCUGAGGAUGACCGGUCCGCCCUGUGGGUGUGCAUCUGGCUCAGCCUUGGCAUCUUCCUGAAGAACGUAGCUGCACUUGACUGUGUGGUGCGGUAUUUAGGACAUUUACUUUGAGGAAAUUAGAGUGUUUCAAGCAAGCGCACGCUUUGAAUACAUUAGCAUGGAAUAAUAAGAUAGGACCUUGGUUCUAUUUUGUUGGUUUCUAGAGCUGAGGUAAUGAUUGAUAGGGAUAGUUGGGGGCAUUCGUAUUUAACUGUCAGAGAUGAAAUUCUUGGAUUUGUUAAAGACGGACUACUGCGAAAGCAUUUGCCAAGGAUGUUUUCAUUGA
Molecule: ribosomal RNA, 380 nt
Filed under: uncultured eukaryote
Lineage: Eukaryota
Description: partial 18S ribosomal RNA
Rfam family: Eukaryotic small subunit ribosomal RNA
Source: RNAcentral